UGGGGAAUCUUGGACAAUGGGGGAAACCCUGAUCCAGCGAUGCCGCGUGUGUGAAGAAGGCCUUAGGGUUGUAAAGCUCUUUUACCAGGGAUGAUAAUGACAGUACCUGGAGAAUAAGCUCCGGCUAACUCCGUGCCAGCAGCCGCGGUAAUACGGAGGGAGCUAGCGUUGUUCGGAAUUACUGGGCGUAAAGCGUACGUAGGCGGUGACUCAAGUCAGAGGUGAAAGCCUGGAGCUCAACUCCAGAACUGCCUUUGAAACUAGGUCGCUAGAAUCACGGAGAGGUGAGUGGAAUUCCGAGUGUAGAGGUGAAAUUCGUAGAUAUUGGGAAGAACACCAGUGGCGAAGGCGGCUAACUGGUCCGGUACUGACGCUGAGGUGCGAAAGCGUGGGGAGCAAACAGGAUUAGAUACCCCAGUAGUCCCUGAGCGGGCUGGCAAGGCGCAU
Molecule: ribosomal RNA, 447 nt
Filed under: uncultured bacterium
Lineage: Bacteria
Description: bacterial SSU rRNA
Rfam family: Bacterial small subunit ribosomal RNA
Source: RNAcentral